ACUAACAGCCGCCUACACCUCCAAUGCUGCCACAUGUUGCAAUCCUGAUGUAGGACACAGGGACUGCAACACCUGGGUACGUCAGGAAUGGCAUUCACAUAAAAAAUGCAACAGGUUAAAAAAAAAAAAAAGCACGAUGAUGUCUUAGUGUUUCAGUUGGUCCAAAUAUCUGAUAACUGUUGCUCUGGACAAAUUUGACAUGUUUGCCUUGCUACAAUAUUUAACCAGCAGCCAGCUAAUUUUCUGAAGGUU
Long non-coding RNA from Leopardus geoffroyi (Geoffroy's cat), 252 nucleotides. RefSeq lists it as uncharacterized. The transcript is spliced from 2 exons. NCBI's taxonomy places the organism in Eukaryota, Metazoa, Chordata, Mammalia, Carnivora, Felidae. The record is from RefSeq and is a predicted model, not a curated record.